This 495-nucleotide ribosomal RNA is filed under the name uncultured bacterium. Its description in RNAcentral is "partial 16S ribosomal RNA". It matches the Rfam family "Bacterial small subunit ribosomal RNA", at positions 28 to 507 of the family's 1533-position model. The record is from RNAcentral.
GACGAACGCUGGCGGCGUGCCUAAUACAUGCAAGUAGAACGCUGAAGGAGGAGCUUGCUUCUCUGGAUGAGUUGCGAACGGGUGAGUAACGCGUAGGUAACCUGCCUGGUAGCGGGGGAUAACUAUUGGAAACGAUAGCUAAUACCGCAUAAGAGUAGAUGUUGCAUGACAUUUGCUUAAAAGGUGCAAUUGCAUCACUACCAGAUGGACCUGCGUUGUAUUAGCUAGUUGGUGAGGUAACGGCUCACCAAGGCAACGAUACAUAGCCGACCUGAGAGGGUGAUCGGCCACACUGAGACUGAGACACGGCCCAGACUCCUACGGGAGGCAGCAGUAGGGAAUCUUCGGCAAUGGACGGAAGUCUGACCGAGCAACGCCGCGUGAGUGAAGAAGGUUUUCGGAUCGUAAAGCUCUGUUGUAAGAGAAGAACGAGUGUGAGAGUGGAAAGUUCACACUGUGACGGUAUCUUACCAGAAAGGGACGGCUAACUACGUG